RNAcentral lists this long non-coding RNA (3358 nucleotides) under Brassica napus (rape). RNAcentral's name for it is "long non-coding RNA (BNAP_LNC006167)". Lineage: Eukaryota; Viridiplantae; Streptophyta; Magnoliopsida; Brassicales; Brassicaceae. The record is from RNAcentral.
GGCCGAGAUCUCUCGAUCUGAUGUACCAAUCUCUUGUGUACCAUCGUUUAGAAGAUCUCUAUUAAACCCUAGAAGACCAUUGGUCAUGGAUUCAGCUAUAGACCAGAUGUACAUACCUGUCACUUCCUUGCCCCCUCCGCAAGAAACCACCAAUCCAGACAGUAUCCUCGCCAGCCGUCUCUAUUACAUCAAAGCGGAUGCACUAGACGACCUUCAAGCCCUAGCUAGCGGCUCAAAACGUAGGACGAAACUUGAAUCGUUCAGCGCGUUUCUAUGGAAACUCGUGGCCAAACACGCGGCAACAGAUCCAGUCCCGAGCAAGAACUCGAAACUAGGAAUCGUUGUUGAUGGAAGGAGGAGAGUUAUGGAGCAAGAAAAAAAUACUUACUUCGGAAACGUUCUUUCAAUCCCAUUUGGUGGACAAAAGAUCGAUGACUUGGUCAACAAGCCAUUGUCUUGGGUGACCGAAGUGGUUCACAGGUUCUUGGAGAGUUCUGUGACCAAAGAACAUUUCUUGAACUUGAUUGAUUGGGUUGAGACACGCCGCCCAACACCUACGGUUUCAAGAAUCUACAGCACCGGGUCGGAGGACGGACCCGCCUUUGUCGUUUCUUCAGGGAGGAGUUUUCCGGUGACCCAAGUGGAUUUCGGGUGGGGCUCGCCGGUGUUCGGAUCUUAUCAUUUCCCAUGGGGAGGUAAUGCAGGAUAUGUGAUGCCUAUGCCGAGCUCGGUGGAGGAUGGAGACUGGAUGGUUUACUUGCACCUCACGAAAGGACAGUUGAAGUUUAUUGAGGAAGAGGCUUCUCAAGUGCUUAAACCUAUUGACAAUAAUUACCUCAAGAUUUAAAACACUAAUCUGUUGUUAAUGCAAUAUCUAUUACGGUUCAUUUGUGUUAUGCAUGUCAUAUGUGAUAUUAUGUUUGCUUGCGUCUUUGUUCUAUUUGAAUUAUGUGUAUAAUAUGUACUUUGUGUAUCAAAUCAUAUCCCUUUGAUUUUUGGUUCAGUUACUUGGAUGAUGUUGCUCAAUCUAAUAUUUGCACAGUAAUCAAUUAGUUGAUUUUUUUCCAACAACAUACAUUCAAGGGUUUGAGUCCAGAUAGUAACACCACCAACAUUAUUAAAUUACAUGAUCAGUUCUAUUUAAUUUUGUUUGUAAACUAUUAUAUAUAUAUAUAUAUAUAUAUAUAUAUAUAUAGAUCUUGAAUUAUAAACAGAUAUCAAUUGUUUGAACAUGAUAAUUUUAAUUCACUUCUAAAGUCAUAAAAUUAGAUAUAUAGAGCAAAUACUUGAACAAAAAAAUUAUUUUGAAAAAGGUCUAGAAAUAUUGAUAACUGCAAAUAGUUAUUUAUUUAUUUAGAGUUGAGGUUUUUAACAUAUUAGUAUGUAUUACUUCCAUCUUCAGUUAUAUAAAUUUGUUUCUUGAACUGUAGUCAUAUCAUAAUUCAUGUUAGACAUUCGAUAGUCUAUGUAUAAUUUUGAUUGUUGUGGUGAAUACUCAAAUAACAGUUGACAAUAUUAUGAAAAGAGAAACGUUUGAUUGAUGUUACUCGCAAAAGAAUACUAUUGAUUGGUUGAAAAAUGAAGGCACUCAAAAAGUCAGAACUAAUGAAUAUUUGGAACUUCGAACCAAAAAGUAGUUUCAAAAAGAAAAAGAAAAAGAAAAAGACAAACUUCGAACCAAAUAUAUCCAUAGGUCUGCAUAAUAUAUCAUUAUUUCUUAUAUCAGAUAUAAAUACUCCAAGUUUCAUAAAGUUACAUAUCUAAAAAAAAUUAUUUUAAAAAGAUCUAUUUAUUUUUUUGCAUUUUCAAUAUAUGUAUUAUUAACUGAUUGCAAAUUUCAAAAAAUUUAAUUGCACUUAUUAGAUUUUUUUUGCUUAAAAUUAUAAAAAAGUCACAAAAAUUAUGUAUAUUUAAUAUUUUUUAUUCAAAUGUGUAAAAAAUUUAAAAUAUGUAACAUUUUGAAACGAAAGGAAUAUACAAUUAGAAAUGAGCCGAGAUAAUAAGACAUGUCAAUCAACGCAAAUAAUAGAUGGUUAACACAUUAGUUAUGGUGUGAAUUCUAAAAAUAAUUCACAAUUGAUUUUAUCUAAAAGAGUUAUAAGACUAUAAAAAUUUAAAUCGAAGUGUUAAAAUUAAAAUAAGAUUUCAACAGUUGUAAAAAAAAAAAAAUCAACCGAAAUGUUUGAAAGUUUCACCUAAUACUCUCCUAAACUGUGGUUAUAAAUUCUCUUCUUCACAGCAUCUUCCAACAACCCAAAACCACACGUAUUCUUCAUUCCCUCUCUAAGAACAUCAACCAAUGGGAGAAGCGGCGGAGCAAGCACGUGGCUGUGACUUCCAUGUGACCACCACUAGGAAGCAGCUCAUCACGGCGGCUCUUCCACUCCAGGACCACUGGCUCCCUCUCUCAAACCUCGACCUCAUCCUUCCUCCUGUCCACGUCAGCGUUUGUUUCUGCUACAAGAAACCACGUAACAUGACUAAUUCAAUGGCUCAUGAAACCCUCAAGACGGCUUUGGCUGAGACUCUCGUCUCCUAUUACGCUUUUGCCGGCGAGAUUGUCACUAAUCCCACCGGAGAACCUGAGAUUCUCUGCAACAACCGCGGUGUAGAUUUCAUGGAGGCCGGUGCUGACGUGGACCUCCGAGAGCUUAACCUCUAUGAUCCUGAUGAAAGUAUUGCCAAGCUUGUUCCCAUCAAGAAACAUGGUGUCAUAGCGAUUCAGGUAACAGUUUUUGUUAAAUUCAAGUUUAUCAUGUGUUUCUAGAUUAAAACCAACUGAAGAAAAUAGAUUUAUCAUAAUCCUUUAUAUAUUAGUUUAUUAAUUUUCUAUUUUAAGGCAGUAAUAUAGUUCACUAGCUACAAAAAAACAUAACUCUACUUUUGUUUCGUUGUCUGAACAGGUGACUCAACUGAAAUGUGGGAGCAUAGUUGUGGGAUGCACAUUUGAUCAUCGUGUAGCAGAUGCGUAUUCCAUGAACAUGUUCCUUGUAUCGUGGGCCGAGAUCUCUCGAUCUGAUGUACCAAUCUCUUGUGUACCAUCGUUUAGAAGAUCUCUAUUAAACCCUAGAAGACCAUUGGUCAUGGAUUCAGCUAUAGACCAGAUGUACAUACCUGUCACUUCCUUGCCCCCUCCGCAAGAAACCACCAAUCCAGACAGUAUCCUCGCCAGCCGUCUCUAUUACAUCAAAGCGGAUGCACUAGACGACCUUCAAGCCCUAGCUAGCGGCUCAAAACGUAGGACGAAACUUGAAUCGUUCAGCGCGUUUCUAUGGAAACUCGUGGCCAAACACGCGGCAACAGAUCCAGUCCCGAGCAAGAACUCGAAACUAGGAAUCGUUGUUGAUGGAAGGAGGAG